GCGCCUGUAGCUCAGUGGACAGAGCAGCGGACUUCUAAUCCGCGGGUCGCAGGUUCGAAUCCUGCCAGGCGCG
RNAcentral lists this transfer RNA (73 nucleotides) under Thermoanaerobaculia bacterium. It matches the Rfam family "tRNA". From Rfam's summary of the family: Transfer RNA (tRNA) molecules are approximately 80 nucleotides in length. Their secondary structure includes four short double-helical elements and three loops (D, anti-codon, and T loops). The record is from Rfam by way of RNAcentral. Lineage: Bacteria; Pseudomonadati; Acidobacteriota; Thermoanaerobaculia. RNAcentral also lists the same sequence under 2 other names.